RNAcentral lists this unclassified non-coding RNA (253 nucleotides) under uncultured bacterium. Its description in RNAcentral is "contains 16S-23S intergenic spacer region". It matches the Rfam family "Bacterial small subunit ribosomal RNA", at positions 524 to 776 of the family's 1533-position model. The record is from RNAcentral.
UACGGAGGGGGCGAGCGUUGUUCGGAAUCAUUGGGCGUAAAGGGCGCGUAGGCGGUCUCGUAUGUCUGCUGUGAAAGUCCACGGCUCAACCGUGGAACGUCGGUGGAAACUGCGGGACUUGAGGCUGGGAGGGGCCGGUGGAAUUCCCCGUGUAGCGGUGAAAUGCGUAGAUACGGGGGAGAACACUCGUGGCGAAGGCGGCCGGCUGGACCAGACCUGACGCUGAGGCGCGACAGCGUGGGGAGCAAACAGG